GACCUCCUGUCGCCUCACCAACCCACGAUACAAUCACCCCCGACCCUGUCGCCCCCUUCUCUCCCGAGAAGCCGAGUCCCGAUCGCAUCUGUGUCAACCAUCGCCGCAUGUGCUCCCCAUCCCGCUCUAAACUCCUCGUGAUCCACUCCUUUGUGCUGCCUGGAUCCAGCGUAGGGGAUGUCUUCCAGUUUCAUCCCAUCCAAGGGAGAAAUAUAAGAGGGAGAGAGGAUGGAGCACAGCGGCGGUGCCGGCCUAAGCGCCGCUCGAGCGCCGGUCGCCGCUUCUACUUCCAAGCGAGGCACCGAUCUACCAUGCCCGGGUGACGCGAUGACGCCAGCCCAACCCGAUCCGAUGGCCCCCUCUCCGCCAUCUCCGUCGGGGAACAACACGUAGUUCGCACAUCAAGCAGGACGGUGGCGGCAUGGCUCCGGGAGGCGGGGAACGGCGUGGAAACAAUGGACGACGAGGCGAGGCGGAUCAGAUCAGGAUCGAGCGCAGUGGUGCGUAGUGGAGGGUGCCGGCGACGGUGCUCCACGGCCAUGGCGGCUCGGCCUCCUGGGAAUAAGAAACGAGGGAGAGAGGGGGUGAGAUGGAGAGAAGAGAAGCAGAGGAGGGCGACACAGAUUCCUUCUUCUGGUCCGGCGGCAGCUCCCGUCGGCUGAUCCAGGACGGCGGCGGCAUGGCUCUCGGAGGCGGGGAACGGCGUGGAAACAGCGGACGAUGAGGCGAAGCAGAUCAGGGUCGAGCGCGGCGGUCUUAGCCGCAGUUUGAUGACCAUCAUGCACUUCCCCGGCUAAUCCAUGUACCACUUGCUUUAUCUGUACUAUUAAAGGGGUAUCGAACAUCGUGAUGGGUCGACCUCCUCCCGUUCUGACGAAUUAUUCAUCCUGUUACAAGGGCAUAACCCACUCGGUAAACAAGAGAAUCAAGAAGGAAGAACUUUUGUGCUGGUAUCGAAUGUCGUGAUGGUCGACCUCCUCACGUUCUGAUGAAUUAUUCAUCCUGUUACAAGGGUAUAACCCACUGGGUAAAGAAGAGAAUCAAGAAGGAAGAAUUUGUGUGCUCUCUCUGUGAGGAAUGGAAGCUAGGUUAUGAGACAAAUCACCGGUGCUUGGCAAAAGAUAAGAUGAUUCCCAGCAAGUGAUCGACAACCUUCUUUGACCGAUCAUUUUCUUUAUUAUCAUCAUGCAACUGAAAGACUGAAAUUGCAGUGGCAUGCAUACUGUCGUUUUGUUAGUAGUGCAGAAGGCAAGAAACAAAUGCACCCAGAGAAUGUUUGACAAUGGUUGGUGCUCCCUGUUUUUUUCUCUUGUUGAUUGGUGCUCUUUUCAAAUCCACUCCAAAUUGUUGAUUAAUUUUUGGGAUGUUAGUUAAUGUGUAGCUCCUGCCAUUGUUCUCUUUAUGUUUGAUGAAGAAUGUGGUUGUCCUUUGGCUGACAACAUUUCACUUCAGAUUCAAAAGACAGAUUAUGUAUAUUUGAGUUUUGGCUAAAUUUCAGACAAUAGUAGUAUGAUGGUAA
This is a long non-coding RNA of Hordeum vulgare subsp. vulgare (domesticated barley), 1519 nucleotides long. RefSeq lists it as uncharacterized. The transcript has 6 exons. The record is from RefSeq and is a predicted model, not a curated record. NCBI's taxonomy places the organism in Eukaryota, Viridiplantae, Streptophyta, Magnoliopsida, Poales, Poaceae.